Molecule: non-coding RNA, 69 nt
Organism: Rattus norvegicus (Norway rat)
Lineage: Eukaryota; Metazoa; Chordata; Mammalia; Rodentia; Muridae
Source: Rfam
GGGGAUUUAGCUCAGUGGUAGAGCGCUUGCCUAGGAAGCGCAAGGCCCUGGGUUCGACCCCCAGCUCCG